Long non-coding RNA from Ctenopharyngodon idella (grass carp), 1745 nucleotides. RefSeq lists it as uncharacterized. NCBI's taxonomy places the organism in Eukaryota, Metazoa, Chordata, Actinopteri, Cypriniformes, Xenocyprididae. The transcript is spliced from 3 exons. The record is from RefSeq and is a predicted model, not a curated record.
GAGCAGUUUGUCCGUUUAGGGCUACUGUAGAAACAUGCUGGCGCAAAAUGGCGACUUCCAUGUAAGGGGACCCGUGGUGUAUGUAGAUAGAAAUGGCUCAUUCUAAGGAGGGGGCGGGACUGCAGAUUCUAGAGAGUAUUUAAUUGGACAGAAGAUUUGAUGAGAAGCUGAAGUCUGCAGUGAUGUCUUGAAAAUCCGUGAUCUGUUUUAGCGGAAGUGAGAGACUGUGGGCUUCAUCCACAUCAUAACAGCCACAAGGGAGCAGAACACAACAUAAAGCCGUCCACUGCGGCCCAUCUUCUGCCACAUCUGCCACACGGUGCCAUGUGUGUUUGGAGAUGUCAAAUACUUUCAGUCUGCUGUAAGGUGUGAACUGGGCUGGAACAGAACGACUUAGCGGGGGCCAUGGCCAAUGAGGACGAGACAAAGACUGUGCUUUGUAGCAACCAUGGAAAAAAACAACUCUGCCUCUUUCUAAGAACCUUAUAAUGUUUUUAUGAGGUGGUGAGAUGCACUGCCCCCCAGAUUUAAAGUACUCAAAACUUUCUAUGCUUAUGAGAUUUUAUGACUUUAAAUGCUUGUGUUUUGUUCCUACAAAGCACACAUCUGUUUGGAAAGAAGAGAAGCUGGCGUGUUGUUUCAGGUGCUGUUUUCUUUUCUCUUUCUUAAGCCGUAUUGGGUCAGUGUAUGUAAGAGACGAAACAGAACAUCUCGUCCUCACACUUGGCAUUAUUCAUUCAGGCCAGGGCUUGAAACUGACAGCCACCUAGUAAACAAUUACUGCAGCCAGUUGACUUAUUGUUUAAAGUCAGCAUGAAACAGCUUCCACCAGACCUAGACCCCAAAAAUACUGUACAGAAGUAACACUUCUACUUAAAGUCGGCAUGAAACGGAAGUUGCGAUAGUCUUUUCUUCCCUAUUGUGACAUAUCUGAAUGAAACAGGUUCUUGAACAAGAAAAAAAAAAAAUUUAGGGAGAUUUUGUGCAUUGAUUUUGUGCAUUGAGAAUUGAUUGGAUGGUUGUGGUUUGCUAUUGCUGUGAUCUCAUGUGAGUGACAGGUUGCCCCCGCCCUCACGCCAGUAAACACGUCAUCGAAGAGAAGAGAAGAGAAGAGAAGAGAAGAGAAGAGAAGAGAAGAGAAGAGAAGAGAAGAGAAGAGAAGUCUCUGCAAUAGGGAGAGCAGUGUUGUCAAAAGUACCAACUUUGAUACCAAGUUGGUAAUGAAAUUUUUAAAAGUGAUGCUUUAAGCGCUUCGUAAACACCUCUGAUUGGCUAUUGUGUUCACGCACUCAACAUAUAUGUCUGUGAUUGGCUACAAUGAUCAACGCUUUAAAAACAUGUUGUAAAUAGACAUCAAUGAUGCUCUUCACAGAGCUUACACAGAUACACACCGGAGUCUUUUCUUCCCUAUUGUGACAUAUGAAACUGCUUCUCAAACAAGAAAAAAUGUAGGGAGGGACUUGAUUUACUGCAUCAGGAAUUGAUUGGAUGGUUGUGGUUUGCUAUUGCUGUGAUCUCAUGUGAGCGACAGGUUGCCCCCGCCCUCACGCCAGUUAACAUGUCAUCAGAGAAAAGAAGAGAUGUCUCUGCAAUAAGGAGAGUAGUGUUGUCGAUACCAAGUCGGUACUGACAUUUGAAAAAUGUGACGCUUUGAGCGCUGUUGAGCGGAUUCGUAAACACCUCUGAUUGGCCGUUGUGUUCACACGCUUAACAUAUAUGUCUGUGAUUGGCUACAAUGAUCAACG